This 6360-nucleotide long non-coding RNA is filed under the name Homo sapiens (human). Its description in RNAcentral is "HSALNT0364588". Lineage: Eukaryota; Metazoa; Chordata; Mammalia; Primates; Hominidae. The record is from RNAcentral.
AGAAGACUUCCUGAGCAUGAGAGGAUGGGCAGCCCUGAAGCAGGCAAAGGAAAAGUGGCACGGCAGGAAGCAAGUCAGAUGAGGGGGCCUGGUUUGUGCGAGAACAUGACAAACCAGUGUUCCUGAAGCCUAAAGGGAAGGUGAGACAAGGCAGAGGAGGCUGGCGGGGCCAGGUCACGGAGUCUCCUGUGCCACACUGAGAGUCUGGGCUUGAGCUUGUGGAGAGCCCAAGGAUGAAAACAGAGAAGUAAUUAAUGGCAGCUUUCCUGGGCCAGAAGAAUAAAUAAGGAAUUAUCUUACAAACAGCAAAUAAACCACAGCAACCAUGAAAUUAGAAGUUUGGUAAAACAUGUUGCAGAAGAACCAGGAAACACAUUGCAAUUGAGCCUGCUGGGUGCUGCUGCAAGUUUGGGGGUGAACAGGAGAAUCAGGUUCUUAUAGGUAAGCAGACAAAUGUGUAGAAGGGUUUUUUGUUUUGUUUAAUUUUGAGUGUUGGUGGUGAGUAUGAGGCAUGAUAGAGUAUCAGAACAUUCACAUUCCACAAGAAGAUGAAAAUAGAAAAAUAUAAGACAGAAUUUGAAUUAUAACAUUUAUCAUGUGACCUUGGGCAACAAAAAUAAUCUGUAAGCAUCAUUUCUCCAUUUGUUAAAUGGCAACAAUGCCCACCCCUUAUAGAAUUGUCAGUAGCAUAAAUAAGAUAGCAUAAAGUAACUAUAGCAUGUUGUGUUUAGCAAAUAGUUAUUACUAUGAUGAUUAUUUAUAGAACUAGCUUGAAGAUAAACUGUCUUUCACAGUAAAGAUAAGGACUUAACAAUAAACUCAUUUUUCACAUGAGUGUUUGUCACUGAGGAGGCAUGCCACUCUGAAAUGUGUUGUUCUUGUCACCAGGGGUGAAGUCUGCAAAGUAGGAUGUUUUCCUAAUUUGAAUGCAAUGACUGAAGUGGAAAAUGGUCAAGUGAGUUUUUGAAAGAAAUAUUUUCUCUAAUAUAAAAUUUUUGAAUUGAUUCUUUUUUUUGUUUCUUAAAACAAGUUCUAUUCUUAUAGAAAAAGAAAAAAAUGCCAGUAAUCUUUAUAAUACCCAUUAAAAUAAAGUCUCUGUAGCCCACAAGGCCCCGAAGAAACUCAGCUCAAAGACCAUUCGGCAGAAGGUAAGGCAGCAUUCUCCUACAUUGUAGACAACAGCUCUUUCUCAAGAUGGUAGGAUCAAAGUUUUCUCAUUUUGUAUAUAUUUCUACAUUAACAAAAAAUGUAUGAUCUUUUGUAUAUUUACUAAAUACAACCAUGACCUACAUUAAUGUCAUGAAUGAUUUCAUAUACUUUUGAAUGUUCUACUUUAUUUUUAAUUUUUUGGUUGAGACAGGGUCUCACUCUGUCACCCAGGGUGGAGUGCAAUGGCACCAUCUUGGCUCACUGCAACCUCCACCUCCCAGGUUCAAGCAAUUCUCAUGCCUCAGCCUCCCAGGUAGCUGGGAUUACAGCUAUUUUUUGUAUUUUUAGUAGAGACGGGGUUUCACCAUGUUGGCCAGGCUGGUCUCAAACUCCUGGCCUCAUGUGACCCACCAAAGUGCUGGGAUUACAAGCAUGAGCCGCUAUGCCUGGCCUCUAUUUAUUUAAAAUAUGAAAAGUUAGGGGCUAAUUCCUUCCCACCCCUCCAUCCCUCAUCCUGCAAGAUAUGCCCCUGCUCUGGUUUGGAAAAUCCACUAGAAGGAUUAAGAGUCCUGGUAAGUCAUGCAGAGUGAAAUAGUGAGCUCAGUGACACACAGCAUGGAGAAUGGACACCCAACAGGAAGAAUGUGCCCAUAUGCAUAAAUGGAAUUGCUGUGGGGAUUAGGAAAAUGUACAACAAAAUUGAUCUUUAAUCUGUCAAUUAAUGAUUAGGGGUCAGUCCUCAAUUUUCUCUUGUCUCUCUGGGUCACCACCUAAAUGACCUAAUCCAAUCCUGUAUCUCUAUACAAUGACAACUCCCAAAUUUAUAACUCUAUGUUUAGACUCUUCUCUAUACUUUAGACUUAUCUGUGCAACUGCCUACUGGAUAUCUUGAAUUUCUCUUCAAAGUUGUUCCUUCCCUGUGCUUUAUCAAUGCAGUGAACGGACGCUCCAUUCUUCUACUUGUUCAGAAAAAAAAGUUGGGUUAUAACUGACUUUUCUGUUGAUAUCACAUCACACAUCCAAUCUGUUAGUAAAUCUUGUCAUCUCUACCUUCAAAAUAUAAUCUCGGACUAUUUCUCACUUGCUACCACCAUCAUCUGCUGUCUGGAUUGUUGCAGUAGCUUCCUAACAGAUAUCCAGUUCCUACUUUUUUGCUCCUGUGGUUUACUGUCCUCAGAGCAGUCAGAGUGAUUUUUCUAAAAUACAAGUCAAAUAAUGUUGUUUCUGCUUAAAUUUUUCUAGAACUGGGCAGAGUGGCUCACACCUACAAUCCCCUAGGAGGGAAGGACAAAGGCAUCCAUAUCACCUCGCCACAGUGGUUGUGGUGGAAGCUGUAGCACUGAAGAGAUGCAGCCCCAUGGAAGAUGCUGCCAAGAGAGGGAGACAGAGCUACGUCUGGUGUCUCCCUUCCUCCUUACCUGGUGCCUCCCUCCUCCUGUCCUCCUGUCUCCCUUCAGAUGAAGGAACUGAUGCUGAGACUUGCACUCUACCAUAGGCGGAAGCACCCACCACCCUGUUCCCAGCCCUGGAAGGGCAAGGAAUGAAUCUGAGGCAAAUAGGGCCAGCACUGGCAGUCUGCUCGAUUUUCCCUCAGAGCAUUUAUCUUCCUUGACAUAUUUACAAUUUUUUGUCUAUUUUUGGUUUCUCUAACUUGACUAGAAUGUAAGAUCCACAAGGCUUGGGCUUUGCUCUUUUGUUCACUAUGUCCAUAGCUCCUGUAACAGUGCCUAAAACAUAGUAGGCAAUCAAUAGAUAUUCUUUGGAUAAACAAAUAUGCCUCAACAUUGAGUCUAACUUACAGCAGACAUUGAAUAAAUAUCUAUUGAAUGAAUGAGACUAACAAUUUACUACAAAAGCAGUUCUUAUGUGAAAUAUGACAGGGUUGACAUCUUAACUGAAAUCCAUCUUGAGAGAUUUUUUUUAACCCACCGAGAUUUCUGAGAACACAUUUAUUUGAAGAACCUUAUAUUUUAUGAUGCAUUUUUAUAUGUGAAUUUUUUGAAACCCUACUAUCUUAUUUCCUGAGGGGUUUUAGACUCAGCUAUUCUUCAUUUCAUUUUUAUACAUUUGUGCAGCUGAACACUUCCUACUUUAUUCUUUUUGUUUCUAAGUUCCUAAAAAUAGUUCAGAAAAUCCAAAAUUAUGAACUCGAUUCAUCCAAAAAAAUGAACAAAUCAAAUAACUUUGAAAAUAAAUGCUUUCACUAUUUAUUACUAACAAAAUUGAACAGUAUAAUCCAGAAAAAUUGAGCAAAAAUAAUUUAUAAAUCUCAAGAUUAAAACCAAAUAUGGCUUUAUGAUUGUAUUAGUCCAUUUUCACACUGCUAUAAAGAUACUACCCAAGACUGGGUAAUUUACAAACAAAGAAGGUUUAAUUGACUCACAAUUCUGCAGGGCUGGGGAGGCCUCAGGAAACUUACAAUCAUGGUGGAAUGGAAAGCAGGCACCGUCUUUACAAGGUGUCAGGAGAGAGGGAGAGCAGGGGAAACCACCACUUAUAAAACCAUAAGAUCUCGUGGGAACACACUCACUCUCAUGAGAAUAGCAUGGAGAAAGCCGCCCCCAUGAUCCAAUCACCUCCCAUCAGGUCCCUCCGUUGACAUGUGGGCAUUAUGAUUCUGAUUACAAUUGGAGAUGAGAUUUGGGUGGGGACACAGCCAAACCAUAUUGGUCAAUUAAGCGAUAAAUACUAUAAAAAUUAUAAAUAGUGGUCAAACUGAAACAUUUCUCUGUUUCAGAAACUUUUCACUUUAAGAAAGUCUUAAAUUCAUUGUUGAUUACCUUGUUCACAUUUUCUCGAUCUCUCCUAGAGAUCAAAUUAGGACUGAUUUGUAUCAAUAAAUCUGGAUUUUGAUUUCCUUUAUGACUUUGGAUAGAUUUCUGGAUGGUGAGUGAAUACAGACUUAAACUUUAAGAAAGUGCCUGCUUCCAGCUUCUGGCUGGAGGCUACACUUCCCAGCCUGUCAGAACAGCCACCCUGAAAACUGCAAUCCAUUAUGAGAAAUAAAGCUCUCUUUUUUAAAUUAAAAAGAAAAAGGAAUUAAAAUGUAGGAUUUGGUGACCAAUUUAAGUAUGUUAAAGAUAUGUUUUGGCUACUGAGCUUCCUCUGAGAUUCUUUAUACUCAAACACAAACAAAGCACUGAAUUUCAACCUGAAAAUAUGUCAUGUGUUUCAAAUAACUUGAAGAACAAAAACAACAACAAAAAUCCUGUUAUUUUCUGGGAAAAAUGAUUCAUUUCAGGUAAAACCCAUGACAUAUUUUUAGGUCACCAAAUCCCACGUUUUAAUUCCUUUUUCAUUAGGAGAGUCCACCCAUGAUAAACAAUAGGAAGGUUGUAAUGAGUUUCUGUCUUUGUCCUCAGGCAAGAAGAAAUUCAAAUACAUUCUUUCUGUGUGAAUUCAUUUCUUUUCCACCUCAGCUGUUCAAAUCUCCAAAAUGAAUAACUAUUGCCAGCACUGUCUUGUUCAUGCUUGUUUUUAAAGCUGUUUCUUUCUUUUGAGACGUAAUCGCAGGCCCUUAAGAAAACCAGAAGGGACAAGCCAAGUGUCAAUUAUGUUUGUUGUUCCAGCUAGUCUGUUUCUGUAAGUGUAUGAUAUAGGACAGAAAGAAUUGGCCCAUAUUUUUUUCCAAUUUUGAGAAACUCUGAGCUUAAUUUUUAGUUUUCCCAAUUGUUUUUACUUUAGAAUAAAUUGCUUAGUAUAUCUAAUUAUAAUAAUGAUGGCUCACAUUUACUGCGCAUUAACUACAUCAAGUACUUAUUGUAAGUGACGCAUGUGACCAGUUGCCAAUUGUUCAGGCUACAGCUUGGAUCUGUUAGCAUCCUCAUUUAACAAAUGGAGAAAUUGUAGCACAGAGAAGGAACUUUCCCCAGGUUCCAUGGUGAAUAAAUAGAGGAAGUGCUCAAUGAGCCUAACUAAUCUGGGUUGAAAGCUCAUACUCUUACCCAGCCUCCAAGCUAGCAGAUGGAAAUCAAAAUAUCUUAUUUUAAAGCUCUUUUCUAGGAGAAAAGAUACCUUGAUAAGCUGUUUUUCCAAGGAAUGGGAGGCCAUAAUGACAUGUUUAAAUGAGACAAUAAACAGGUUUACAUAACUAGUUUACAUUUAAAAAGAAAGAUAAAGAAACAGGAACUUGGGUUCCUCCCAGAGGUCAAAGAAGGGAGGGGUCAGACAGAAGAGCAGAAGGUUGGCAUCUGUGGGGAGGUCACUGUGGGGAGACGAUUUUGGAGGUGGGUUUGCCAAAGGAUAUUAAUAAGAUUUUUCCCUCUAAUUGUUUGAUGGGGAGCAUUAGAAACUCCAUAAGAUUUUGGAUUUUGGAAAUCAAGUUUAUUUAAAUCUUAAAGGAUGAGUGAUAUCACCUACUUUUUGAGUUAUAAAUCUUUAAUAUAAUUCUAAUAUUCAACAUAUAUGCUUUGAAAACUGUGUUUUUAGAUUUUCCACUGAAUUUGAAAUAGGAUUAUUUUUAUAGUUGAAUCUUGUCCUCUCCUACAGGUCAAUUUUUAAGAAUAUAUAUCCAGGAAAAAGUAACUGCCCAUAAGCAAAAAUGAGUGCAAUUUCUGGUGCUCUCCUAACUGUAAUAUCACACGUAUUUGUGCUACAGAACAAGAAUAGGGACAAGGAAAGAAAACAAACUUGACCAACAUUUGAGAAUCUACUACAUGUUAAGUAGUAAGUCAUACUACUUUUUAAAAUCCACUUUAUCGAAGUAGAGUAAACAUAUACAAUUCACUAAUUUUAUUUGCACAGCCUAUAUAUAUAUACACUAGUGUCACCACUGCAACAAUCAUGAUAUAGAACAUUUCUAUCACCCCAGAAAGUUUACUCAUGAUCCUUUGUAGUCAAUCCCUCCUCCCACUUCCCACCUUUGGCAAUCAGUGACCUGCUUUCUGUUACUAUAGUUUUGUCUCCUCUAAUUUUUCAUAUAAAUGGAAUCAUAUAUCAUGAAGUCUUUUGUAUCUGGUUUCAUUCACUUUCCAUAUUGCUUUUGGGAUUCAUCCAUAUUGUUUCAUGUGUCAGUCAUUUCUUCCUUUUUGUUGUUGAGUAUGGACAUUCCAGUUUGUCUAUUCAUCAACUGAUAGAUAUUUGGGUUGUUUCUAGAUUUUAGCUAUCAUAAAUAAAACUUUCAUGAACAUUUAUGUGCAAAUACUUAUUUGGGCAGGUUUUCAUUCUUCUUGGGUAAACAUUUAGAGUAGGAUCAUUGGGUCACAGGAGAAG